Daphnia pulicaria is the source of this 819-nucleotide long non-coding RNA. RefSeq lists it as uncharacterized. The transcript is spliced from 5 exons. Lineage: Eukaryota; Metazoa; Arthropoda; Branchiopoda; Diplostraca; Daphniidae. The record is from RefSeq and is a predicted model, not a curated record.
GUUUACACUUUCAUUAUCGUCAGAGGAGUAAAAACCUUCUGUAUCAAAGCUCUCUGAUAAAGCAUCUUCAUCAUCUUGAUCCUCUUCUAAAGGACAUCUUCUGUAGAUUGAAGAAUACAUUUGUCUGCAACUAAACAGAUUAUUUCUCGAAAUCGUAAAAAAACUUGGGAAACGUUUUACUUUCAAUCAUCAGCCUGACUUCUGCUAGAUCUCAAACACCGAUUCCCGGCGAUUUUUUAUUCGUCGUUGCGUAAUGGAAAUGUGUACGGUUAGAAAUGGGUCAUUGUUAUUUUUACAAAUGGACAAUGUUGAAAAGUAAUGUUGGAUUUUCAACAAUCAACAAUAAAGACAAGAACAUCCUAAUAACAACUAUGAAAUUUUACGAGCAGACUGAAGAGAAAUCUUGUUGACAAAAAUUGUUCCAGGUUUUGUUUUAUGACUGCUGCACAUUGGUAAAUUUUCCUGAAAAGCUAUUUUGGCAUAUGACAACUGGCAAAUAAUUUGCAUUUUUUUCCUUUUACUGCUAUUAACUUAAACAUAGAUGACUUUAAAUAAAUGAACAAUAUGCACUUAACAAUAGUACAUGAGUUGGUGCAAUUGUGUUUUCUUAUUUGCAGGUAAGCAUUAAUAGUUGAUCUGGGAAUUAAAAUCAAAGGAAUUAGAUUUGAAAUUUUUUAAAUGUUUCGCUUCUUGAUCCACCAACAUGUCCACAUUUUCAUUCCUUCUGUAAAAACAAAAAAUUAAUAAAUGAAAAGAAUUGAAAAUAAAAAAAAAAUUACUUGUUCCAACUGACAGCAGUAUUAGGAGGCUCUGGAGCAC